AUACGGAGGGUGCAAGCGUUGUUCGGAAUUACUGGGCGUAAAGCGCGCGUAGGUGGUCUGUUAUGUCAGAUGUGAAAGUCCACGGCUCAACCGUGGAAGUGCAUUUGAAACUGGCAGACUCGAGUACUGGAGGGGGUAGUGGAAUUCCCGGUGUAGAGGUGAAAUUCGUAGAUAUCGGGAGGAAUACCGGUGGCGAAGGCGACUACCUGGCCAGAUACUGACACUGAGGUGCGAAAGCGUGGGGAGCGAACAGGAUUAGAAACCCCUGUAGUCC
RNAcentral lists this ribosomal RNA (274 nucleotides) under uncultured bacterium. RNAcentral's name for it is "partial 16S ribosomal RNA". It matches the Rfam family "Bacterial small subunit ribosomal RNA", at positions 523 to 796 of the family's 1533-position model. The record is from RNAcentral.